AUUGGUCUCGUGGGAUAGGUUCCCUGUUCUCGUAGGUGUGUGAUUGUGGGUUUGUUUCUAAAUUUAAGUUUUAUUAUCUAUUAAAUAUAUAGAACGUUAAUGGACCGUCGAUUGAAUAAUUAGAUUAAAAAUCCACCGUUUAGAGUGAAUGGGCCUACACAACUUAUAUAAAACAAAUCAAUGAUAUGUUUUUAUAAUAUUAAUAUUUUCUGCCUUCCUAAGAUUAAAAUAAAAUAAAUAAAAAUAUUAUAAUAUUAAUAUGCUGUAAAAUAAAAACCCAAAGUUUCUCUCCGUUAAAAUUUCAUUCUUUUAAAAAAUAAUGUUUUUUCUUUUGGUUUUUUAAAUAAUUACUGAUCCACCAAUGGAGCGGCAUAUUUCUGGAAGCCAAGCAGGAGAUUUAAAUGCUUUUUAUUCCGAAAAUUUACUAUCUUAUUCUGUUUCGGCUUAAUUUGUUUCAUAUUCC
This 463-nucleotide long non-coding RNA is filed under the name Gossypium barbadense (sea-island cotton). RNAcentral's name for it is "long non-coding RNA (GBAR_LNC018217)". The record is from RNAcentral. Lineage: Eukaryota; Viridiplantae; Streptophyta; Magnoliopsida; Malvales; Malvaceae.